AUGGAAGGGGGGAGUGAAGCAGUAAAGAGGAUCAUCUAUAAGCACAGCAAGCUGCAGAAUGGAGUGAGAUGGUGCGAGUACCUCCUUCUGGUUGUUGGAUAUUCCCAGAAUCCAAGAAUGGGCCAAGCUGGAAGGCACCACAGUGGAUCACUGGUCCCAUUUCCCUGCUCCAGCAGGGCAAUCCAGGCUACAGGGCACAAGAUUGUGUCCAGAAGGGUCCAGAAUAUCUCCAGUGAGGAGACUCCCCACCCUCUCUGGACAAUCUGCUCAGUGGUCGGUCACUGCCCAGGGAAGUUGAACAGAAUUCAACAGAAUUCAACAGAAUCACAAGGUUGGAAGAGACCUCCAAGAUGAUCAAGUCCAACCCAACUCUAACACCUCAACUAGACCACAGCACCAAGUGCCACAUCCAGUCUGUUUUUGAACACAUCCAGGGAUGGUGACUCCACCACCUCCCCGGUCAAACCAUUCCAGUACAUUAUUAUUCUUACCAUGAAAAACUUUUUCCUAGUAUCCAACCUAAAUUUCCCUUGGCACAUCUUGAGACUGUGUCCUCUCAUUCUGUCAGUGGUGGCCUGGAGAAAGAGACCAACCCCCACCUGACUACACCCACCUCUCAGGAGGUUGUAGAGAGUGAUAAAGUCACCUCUGAGUCUCCUUUUCUCCAGGCUAAACAACCCCAGCUCCCUCAGCCAUUCCUCACAGGGUUUGUGUUCCCAGUCCCUCACCAGCCUCAUUGCCUCCUCUGGAUGUGCUCAAGCGUCUCAACAUCCUUCCUGAACUGAGAGGCCAGAACUGGACACAGCACUCAUGGAGUGGCCUCACCAGUGCCGGGUACGGGGAAGAAUGACCUCCCUGCUCCUGCUGGCCACGCUACUCCUGAUCCAGGCCAGGAGCCAUUGGCCUUCUUGGCCACCAGGGCACACUACUGGCUCAUGGUCCGCCAGCUGUCACCAGCACCCCUAGGUCCCUUUCUGCCUGGGCACUGUCCAGCCACACUGUCCCCAGCCUGUAGCACUGC
This 1021-nucleotide long non-coding RNA is filed under the name Parus major (Great Tit). RNAcentral's name for it is "lncRNA (ENSPMJG00000009701.1)". Lineage: Eukaryota; Metazoa; Chordata; Aves; Passeriformes; Paridae. The record is from RNAcentral.